RNAcentral lists this ribosomal RNA (206 nucleotides) under Ignavibacteriota bacterium. Its description in RNAcentral is "Ignavibacteriae bacterium (groundwater metagenome) partial 16S ribosomal RNA". It matches the Rfam family "Bacterial small subunit ribosomal RNA", at positions 1227 to 1429 of the family's 1533-position model. Lineage: Bacteria; Pseudomonadati; Ignavibacteriota. The record is from RNAcentral.
ACAAUUGCCGCGACAAAGCGUCAUCGAAGCCGCAAGGCGGAGCAAAUACCAUCAAAAGCGGUCUCAGUACGGAUAGCGCUCUGCAACCCACCAGCAUGAAGACGCAAACGCUAGUAACCUAGGAUCAGCCAUGCCACGGUGAAUACGUUCUCGAGUCUUGUACACACCGCCCGUCAAGUGAGCCGAGUCGGCAAUACCAGAACCGC